GUGAUAGUUUGCCAUCCUGGGACUUAACUUAAAAGAAAAGACUGUAAAGAAACAGAGAAGAAGACAACAGCUGAGUUGAGACUGUGUUUGCUGGAGCUUUGAAGCACGAACAGGACACUGUGAAUGAAAAAGAGACCGGUGAGAGAUGAAGCUGGACGAGUUUAAUUGCGAGAAUACAGGAUAUGUUUGGACUGAAAAUUGAAACCUGAACUCAUGACUGUUUUAGGGAUGUCCACCACAGCAUAACAAAGAGGUAAACAUUAGAAAAGGUGAGAAUAAUGAAAGAAAUAAUUGUCAUUACCUUAAUGAAUAGAAAACACACAUACAAAUUGUUACAUGUGAGAUAUUUUUGAAAUGAAUCAGAAGUGAGAUAGUUUGAAUCUAAAGCUCAGUGGUGAAAUGCAUAAAUUAAAUAUGAAUAUAUAGGAUGCAAUGAAGAAACAGCUUACACGUAGUGUACAUUAACAUGAAUACAUCGCAAGGCAACGAAGAACUCAAUGAAUUAAUUUAAUGAAGAAGUAGUAUACACCCAAUUAACAUAAAAUGCAGGGAAGAACACGCUUACAUGCAUGGCAUAAUUGGUGUUUCUGACCAGAGACAGAGAAAUGGGUUAUUUAACCACUGGUGAUAAUAAUGAAAAUGUCUUAGUUUUGUUAUUUUCAGGAGUAAAGCAGACUUGGACCGGCUCUCCACAGCAGCAGUCGGAAGAAAGUUAGAGGUUAACAUCUAUGGAUAAGUUAAGGCAAGUUUCUGGUUGAAUUGUUCACAGCAUGAUGUGUCCAGGAACCUGAAAAGCAAG
Long non-coding RNA from Oreochromis aureus, 799 nucleotides. Lineage: Eukaryota; Metazoa; Chordata; Actinopteri; Cichliformes; Cichlidae. The record is from Ensembl.